RNAcentral lists this long non-coding RNA (543 nucleotides) under Zea mays. RNAcentral describes it as "drought-responsive long non-coding RNA". The record is from RNAcentral. Lineage: Eukaryota; Viridiplantae; Streptophyta; Magnoliopsida; Poales; Poaceae.
AUGGAAAACCAAGGCAAGCACAGUGCACAGCAUGUACCGGGCCGGGACCGGGCGGGCCAAGAAGCUAGACGAAAAGGAAGGGAGAUCGAGGAGGCUGGCGCAAGCCUACUAGGAGCGGCGAGCAACAAGUGUCAUCGGGUCGGGAUCGGAAACGGCGGGUCGAAGGACCGUAGCCAGUCGGAGUCCGGCAGGUUGAGCGGCGGCAGCGAGUGGCUUCCUCUGGUGGAGCUCCCCGCGCGGACGUCCUGCAUGGUGAGGAGCGCGGCCACGGUGUUGCGGAAGAUGCCCUGCUCCGCCUCCGCGACGGCGAGCGCCGCGGCGGCGGCCUGGCCCCGAUCGCGCGCCUCCGGGAACACGGCCUCCAUCAAGGACUCGCACUCCCGCACCAGAUGCGACACCGUCUCCGUCUUGAAGAAGGGCUGCUGCAGCACCGACUCCAUCACGGCAAGCCGCAGCAUCGCGCCGGUGCGCUUGUCGUACUUCUUGAGGAUCUUGGCCAGACCUGCAGGCUUUCAAUUCAACUCCGUACAGCUAGCUAGCUAG